UGCAAUGAUGAUCCAAAUUUGCGAUUGAGUCCUUUGUCGGAGACCCUCGCCGGGGUUUCUUAACGGCCUCGGACCUAUGAUAUUCAAUUUCUUACAUAUUCUGAGC
RNAcentral lists this small nucleolar RNA (106 nucleotides) under Paraphaeosphaeria sporulosa. RNAcentral describes it as "A. fumigatus snoRNA Afu_514". It matches the Rfam family "A. fumigatus snoRNA Afu_514". The record is from Rfam by way of RNAcentral. Lineage: Eukaryota; Fungi; Ascomycota; Dothideomycetes; Pleosporales; Didymosphaeriaceae.